AGCGAACACUGGCGGCAGGCCUAACACAUGCAAGUCGAACGAACUCUUCGGAGUUAGUGGCGGACGGGUGAGUAACACGUGGGAACGUGCCUUUAGGUUCGGAAUAACUCAGGGAAACUUGUGCUAAUACCGAAUGUGCCCUUCGGGGGAAAGAUUUAUCGCCUUUAGAGCGGCCCGCGUCUGAUUAGCUAGUUGGUGAGGUAAAGGCUCACCAAGGCGACGAUCAGUAGCUGGUCUGAGAGGAUGAUCAGCCACAUUGGGACUGAGACACGGCCCAAACUCCUACGAGAGGCAGCAGUGGGGAAUCUUGCGCAAUGGGCGAAAGCCUAACGCAGCCAUGCCGCGUGAAUGAUGAAGGUCUUAGGAUUGUAAAAUUCUUUCACCGGGGACGAUAAUAACGGUACCCGGAGAAGAAGCCCCGGCUAACUUCGUGCCAGCCGCCGCGGUAA
This 449-nucleotide ribosomal RNA is filed under the name uncultured bacterium. RNAcentral describes it as "partial 16S ribosomal RNA". It matches the Rfam family "Bacterial small subunit ribosomal RNA", at positions 29 to 523 of the family's 1533-position model. The record is from RNAcentral.